RNAcentral lists this transfer RNA (73 nucleotides) under Synechococcus phage S-SKS1. It matches the Rfam family "tRNA". From Rfam's summary of the family: Transfer RNA (tRNA) molecules are approximately 80 nucleotides in length. Their secondary structure includes four short double-helical elements and three loops (D, anti-codon, and T loops). Lineage: Duplodnaviria; Heunggongvirae; Uroviricota; Caudoviricetes. The record is from Rfam by way of RNAcentral.
GGGUUUAUAACUCAGUUGGUAGAGUAUCGGGCUUUUAACCUGCAAGUCGUCAGUUCGAGCCUGACUAAACCCA